RNAcentral lists this ribosomal RNA (569 nucleotides) under uncultured bacterium. RNAcentral describes it as "bacterial SSU rRNA". It matches the Rfam family "Bacterial small subunit ribosomal RNA", at positions 273 to 834 of the family's 1533-position model. The record is from RNAcentral.
GCAACGAUCAGUAGCUGGUCUGAGAGGACGACCAGCCACACUGGGACUGAGACACGGCCCAGACUCCUACGGAGGGCAGCAGUGGGGAAUUUUGGACAAUGGGCGCAAGCCUGAUCCAGCUAUUCCGCGUGUGGGAUGACGGCCCUCGGGUUGUAAACCACUUUAGUAGAGAACGAAAAGGAGCUAUCGAAUAAAUAGCUCUGCUGACGGUACUCUAAGAAUAAGCACCGGCUAACUACGUGCCAGCAGCCGCGGUAAUACGUAGGGUGCGAGCGUUAAUCGGAAUUACUGGGCGUAAAGGGUGUGCAGGCGGCUGAGUAAGACAGAUGUGAAAUCCCCGGGCUUAACCUGGGAACCGCAUAUGUGACUGCUUGGCUAGAGUGCGUCAGAGGGAGGUGGAAUUCCACGUGUAGCAGUGAAAUGCGUAGAUAUGUGGAAGAACACCGAUGGCGAAGGCAGCCUCCUGGGACGCAACUGACGCUCAUACACGAAAGCGUGGGGAGCAAACAGGAUUAGAUACCCUGGUAGUCCACGCCCUAAACGAUGUCAACUAGUUGUUGGGGAUUAAA